RNAcentral lists this transfer RNA (69 nucleotides) under Taxidea taxus (American badger). RNAcentral's name for it is "tRNA-Val". It matches the Rfam family "tRNA". Rfam says of the family: Transfer RNA (tRNA) molecules are approximately 80 nucleotides in length. Lineage: Eukaryota; Metazoa; Chordata; Mammalia; Carnivora; Mustelidae. The record is from RNAcentral.
CAAAGUGUAGCUUAACUAAAGCGUCUGGCUUACACCCAGAAGAUCUCACGCACUAACUGAUCACUUUGA